RNAcentral lists this ribosomal RNA (440 nucleotides) under uncultured bacterium. RNAcentral describes it as "partial 16S ribosomal RNA". It matches the Rfam family "Bacterial small subunit ribosomal RNA", at positions 338 to 795 of the family's 1533-position model. The record is from RNAcentral.
CCUACGGGUGGCAGCAGUGGGGAAUAUUGCACAAUGGGGGAAACCCUGAUGCAGCGACGCCGCGUGAGCGAUGAAGUAUUUCGGUAUGUAAAGCUCUAUCAGCAGGGAAGAAAAUGACGGUACCUGACUAAGACGCCCCGGCUAACUACGUGCCAGCGGCCGCGGUAAUACGUAGGGGGCAAGCGUUAUCCGGAUUUACUGGGUGUAACGGGAGCGUAGACGGUCCUGCAAGCCAGAUGUGAAAGCCCGGGGCGCAACCCCGGGACUGCAUUUGGAACUGUAAGGCUAGAGUGUCGGAGAGGCAGGCGGAAUUCCUAGUGUAGCGGUGAAAUGCGUAGAUAUAUGGAAGAACACCAGUGGCGAAGGCGGCCGCCUGGCCUGUUACUGACGCUGAGGCACGAAAGCGUGGGGAGCAAAUAGGAUUAGAUACCCGUGUAGUC